RNAcentral lists this ribosomal RNA (305 nucleotides) under uncultured bacterium. RNAcentral describes it as "bacterial SSU rRNA". It matches the Rfam family "Bacterial small subunit ribosomal RNA", at positions 335 to 655 of the family's 1533-position model. The record is from RNAcentral.
AUCCUACGGGGGGCAGCAGUGGGGAAUAUUGCACAAUGGGGGGAACCCUGAUGCAGCAAUGCCGCGUGAAGGAUGAAGGUUUUCGGAUUGUAAACUUCUUUUGUACGGGACGAAGAAAGUGACGGUACCGUAAGAAUAAGCCACGGCUAACUACGUGCUAGCAGCCGCGGUAAUACGUAGGUGGCAAGCGUUAUCCGGAUUUACUGGGUGUAAAGGGCGAGUAGGCGGGAUUGCAAGUCAGAUGUGAAAACUAUGGGCUCAACCGAUAGAGUGCAUUUGAAACUGUCAGGCUGGAGUGCAGCAGG